RNAcentral lists this ribosomal RNA (499 nucleotides) under Ahaetulla prasina. RNAcentral describes it as "partial 16S ribosomal RNA". It matches the Rfam family "Bacterial large subunit ribosomal RNA", at positions 1847 to 2620 of the family's 2925-position model. The record is from RNAcentral. Lineage: Eukaryota; Metazoa; Chordata; Lepidosauria; Squamata; Colubridae.
UUGAGGCAACGCCUGCCCAGUGAACAAUUAAACGGCCGCGGUACACUAACCGUGCAAAGGUAGCAUAAUAAUUUGUCUACUAAUUAUAGACCUGCAUGAAAGGCAAAAUGAGGGCUUGACUGUCUCUUAUAGUAAAUCAAUUAAACUGAUCUCCUAGUAAAAAAGCUAGAAUUAUCACAUAAGACCAGAAGACCCUGUGAAGCUUAAACUAAACUAUUAAACCAAAUAAUAGCUACUUUAGGUUGGGGCGACCUUGGAAAAAGAAUAACUUCCAAAAGUCUAACGACAUAAACAGGCCGACAAGCCAAUAACGACCCAGCAACGCUGAAAAUUGAACCAAGUUACUCCAGGGAUAACAGCGCAAUCUUCUUCAAGAGCCCAUAUCAAAAAGAAGGUUUACGACCUCGAUGUUGGAUCAGGACAUCCUAAUGGUGCAGAAGCUAUUAAGGGUUCGUUUGUUCAACGAUUAAUGUCCUACGUGAUCUGAGUUCAGACCGGA